Molecule: long non-coding RNA, 478 nt
Filed under: Chlamydomonas reinhardtii
Lineage: Eukaryota; Viridiplantae; Chlorophyta; Chlorophyceae; Chlamydomonadales; Chlamydomonadaceae
Description: long non-coding RNA (CREI_LNC001358)
Source: RNAcentral
ACGGUACACGUUCCCACAAGGCCAAGGUGGUAAUCCAGCAAUCCCUGGUAGGUGAUGAAUGUUACAGCGUGGGAUGCGUGUACCGGCAUCAUGCCGCAAAUCAAUGUCGUUCGCCAAAAUUAAUGCCUGACACCGUACUUGCUACUGGGGCAGCACGGGUAGCCGUAAGCCCCCAUCCUCCCCGCACGGCCGCACGAAUGCAUCACACGACCCGACCUUUCCUCAUCUCCUCCAUGACCAACAGCAUGCCGUCUGCCCCACAGGCUAGUCACGAGGCACGACCUCACGUGCUCAAACCCCCCUACUAAGGUGCCGUAGGACUGGUACGGCACAAGACAUCUCACGGCGCAAAUAACCUCAAGUUCAGACGCAAUGCAGGUUGUGCUGGGGACUGCUCCCGUGCCGAGAUGGAGCAUUGGAGCGUGCGCCCUUGGACCACAUAAAUGUGUAUUAUCCCGACGUCCUCCCUUCCAACCAG